UUGCCCCAGUAACGGCGAGUGAAGCGGCAACAGCUCAAAUUUGAAAUCUGGCCCCCCGGCCCGAGUUGUAAUUUGCAGAGGAUGCUUUUGGUGAGGCACCUACCGAGUCCCCUGGAAUGGGGCGCCAUAGAGGGUGAGAGCCCCGUAUGGUAGGACGCCGAACCUCUGUAAAGCUCCUUCGACGAGUCGAGUAGUUUGGGAAUGCUGCUCUAAAUGGGAGGUAAAUUUCUUCUAAAGCUAAAUACCGGCCAGAGACCGAUAGCGCACAAGUAGAGUGAUCGAAAGAUGAAAAGCACUUUGAAAAGAGGGUUAAAAAGUACGUGAAAUUGUUGAAAGGGAAGCGCUUGUGACCAGACUUGCGCCGGGCGGAUCAUCCAGCGUUCUCGCUGGUGCACUCCGCCCGGUUCAGGCCAGCAUCGGUUUUCGCCGGGGGACAAAGGCUUCGGGAACGUGGCUCCUUUCGGGGAGUGUUAUAGCCCGUUGCGUAAUACCCCGGCGGGGACCGACGACCGCGCUUCGGCAAGGAUGCUGGCGUAAUGGUCAUCAGCGACCCGUCUUGAAACACGGACCGAGGAGUCAAGCAUUAGUGCGAGUGUUUGGGUGUAAAACCCGCACGCGUAAUGAAAGUGAACGUAGGUGAGAGCUUCGGCGCAUCAUCGACCGAUCCUGAUGUUUUCGGAAGGAUUUGAGUAGGAGCAUUAACGCUUGGACCCGAAAGAUGGUGAACUAUACUUGAAUAGGGUGAAGCCAGAGGAAACUCUGGUGGAGGCUCGCAGCGGUUCUGACGUGCAAAUCGAUCGUCAAAUUUGAGUAUAGGGGCGAAAGACUAAUCGAACCAUCUAGUAGCUGGUUUCAGCGAAGU
RNAcentral lists this ribosomal RNA (862 nucleotides) under Pyricularia oryzae. Its description in RNAcentral is "LSU rRNA". It matches the Rfam family "Eukaryotic large subunit ribosomal RNA", at positions 75 to 967 of the family's 3401-position model. The record is from RNAcentral. Lineage: Eukaryota; Fungi; Ascomycota; Sordariomycetes; Magnaporthales; Pyriculariaceae.